GAGGACAGAGCUCAGUGGCAGAGCACAUGCUUAGCAGGCAUCAGGUCCGGGGCUCAAUCCCCGGUCCCCCCA
Molecule: transfer RNA, 72 nt
Filed under: Camelus bactrianus (Bactrian camel)
Lineage: Eukaryota; Metazoa; Chordata; Mammalia; Artiodactyla; Camelidae
Also listed under: 2 other names
Rfam family: tRNA
About the family: Transfer RNA (tRNA) molecules are approximately 80 nucleotides in length. Their secondary structure includes four short double-helical elements and three loops (D, anti-codon, and T loops).
Source: Rfam by way of RNAcentral